This 193-nucleotide unclassified non-coding RNA is filed under the name uncultured fungus. RNAcentral's name for it is "sequence contains ITS1, 5.8S rRNA gene". The record is from RNAcentral. Lineage: Eukaryota; Fungi.
UUAACUAUUAUAUAGUACUCAGACAGUAUAGACAAACAGAGUUUAGGUCCUCUGGCGGGCGCUGACCAGCCGAAGCCGGUGGUCCGAGGACGGGCCCGCCAAAGCAACAAAGGUAUAAUAAACAAAGGGUGGGAGGUAUACCCCGAAGGGCAACGUCUCUUUAAUGAUCCUUCCGCAGGUUCACCUACGGAAA